This 253-nucleotide ribosomal RNA is filed under the name uncultured bacterium. RNAcentral's name for it is "partial 16S ribosomal RNA". It matches the Rfam family "Bacterial small subunit ribosomal RNA", at positions 524 to 776 of the family's 1533-position model. The record is from RNAcentral.
UACGUAGGGGGCAAGCGUUGUCCGGAAUCAUUGGGCGUAAAGCGCGUGUAGGCGGCUCGGCAAGUCCGCUGUGAAAGUCCAGGGCUCAACCCUGGAAUGCCGGUGGAAACUGUCGAGCUAGAGUCCGGAAGAGGCGAGUGGAAUUCCUGGUGUAGCGGUGAAAUGCGCAGAUAUCAGGAGGAACACCAAUGGCGAAGGCAGCUCGCUGGGACGGUACUGACGCUGAGACGCGAAAGCGUGGGGAGCAAACAGG